RNAcentral lists this ribosomal RNA (477 nucleotides) under Salmonella enterica. Its description in RNAcentral is "partial 23S ribosomal RNA". It matches the Rfam family "Bacterial large subunit ribosomal RNA", at positions 64 to 580 of the family's 2925-position model. Lineage: Bacteria; Pseudomonadati; Pseudomonadota; Gammaproteobacteria; Enterobacterales; Enterobacteriaceae. RNAcentral also lists the same sequence under 1 other name. The record is from RNAcentral.
AUCUGCGAUAAGCGCCGGUAAGGUGAUAUGAACCGUUAUAACCGGCGAUACCCGAAUGGGGAAACCCAGUGUGACUCGUCACACUAUCAUUAACUGAAUCCAUAGGUUAAUGAGGCGAACCGGGGGAACUGAAACAUCUAAGUACCCCGAGGAAAAGAAAUCAACCGAGAUUCCCCCAGUAGCGGCGAGCGAACGGGGAGGAGCCCAGAGCCUGAAUCAGCAUGUGUGUUAGUGGAAGCGUCUGGAAAGGCGCGCGAUACAGGGUGACAGCCCCGUACACAAAAGCGCAUGUGCUGUGAGCUCGAUGAGUAGGGCGGGACACGUGGUAUCCUGUCUGAAUAUGGGGGGACCAUCCUCCAAGGCUAAAUACUCCUGACUGACCGAUAGUGAACCAGUACCGUGAGGGAAAGGCGAAAAGAACCCCGGCGAGGGGAGUGAAAAAGAACCUGAAACCGUGUACGUACAAGCAGUGGGAGC